Molecule: ribosomal RNA, 468 nt
Filed under: uncultured bacterium
Lineage: Bacteria
Description: partial 16S ribosomal RNA
Rfam family: Bacterial small subunit ribosomal RNA
Source: RNAcentral
GACGAACGCUGGCGGCGUGCUUAACACAUGCAAGUCGAACGGAAAGGCCCUGCUUUUGUGGGGUGCUCGAGUGGCGAACGGGUGAGUAACACGUGAGUAACCUGCCCUUGUCUUUGGGAUAACUUCAGGAAACUGGGGCUAAUACCGGAUAGGAGCUCCUGCUGCAUGGUGGGGUUGGGAAAGUUUCGGCGGUUGGGGAUGGACUCGCGGCUUAUCAGCUUGUUGGUGGGGUAGUGGCUUACCAAGGCUUUGACGGGUAGCCGGCCUGAGAGGGUGACCGGCCACAUUGGGACUGAGAUACGGCCCAGACUCCUACGGGAGGCAGCAGUGGGGAAUAUUGCACAAUGGGCGGAAGCCUGAUGCAGCAACGCCGCGUGCGGGAUGACGGCCUUCGGGUUGUAAACCGCUUUCGCCUGUGACGAAGCGUGAGUGACGGUAAUGGGUAAAGAAGCACCGGCUAACUACGUG